Molecule: long non-coding RNA, 966 nt
Organism: Mus musculus (house mouse)
Lineage: Eukaryota; Metazoa; Chordata; Mammalia; Rodentia; Muridae
Product: predicted gene, 54198
Exons: 4
Source: RefSeq, a predicted model, not a curated record
AAAGGGAUGCGCAGGAAACAAUGACUCUCAUUGUCGAGUUCUCAUUCGUGAUCAAGGGCAGAGCAACAGAGACAGCAUGCCAGAGAGGAUCAAGAAGGCCGUGGGAUUAAGACUUAACCUUGGGUUUGUCGAUAGCCACCGUCAUCUAUGGGCUGAGAGAUCUCAGGAAAGUCACUUGAAUCUCUAGUCUUUAUUUCUUUGUCUGGUCUGCUUAGGUGACACAACCAGAGUUGCUGCUAGGAUGCAAUGUCUAGUGAACCAACAAGCCAAGUCCAUAGGGGUUUGGAGACUCCCUCUCUCUGGAGGAGCUGCACCAAACAGAGGCAGGUGUGGCCGCCAAGCGGCCGAGCAUCCAUCACAGAGGAUGGUUUGGAAACAGUAGGAGCUUUCCUCUGCCCGAUGUCCUGUGGCAAGGCCCUCCCAGACAACUAAGACGAAGGAUGGUGGUGUCACACUGCUCUAGCCCUGUGCCUCCCUGCUGUCAUGCGCUCAACCAUGAUGAGCAUGGACUCACCCUCUGAAACUCACUUGGCCCAGGUACCUCACACAGGACUGAAGAUGAGAAGGAGAUACCUAGGCAAAUCUGCCUAAUUUCCCUGAACUCUGUGUAGUCCAAGUACCGCAGCUUGACACAUCCAUAUGGCUUUGCUUUCUUGGGCAAUUGCAGCCUUGGCAGAGAAUGAGAACACCCGCCCUUGACAGGAACUGUAUGUGAAUGAAAGGCUUCAGGUGCUGGGCUGGCUCCCGACUCCUCUGCAAAAGGAAGUGCCUCCCACUUGGCUUGGUGCAGCGAUGGUACAGCAACUCAGUUCGGCUCCUCUUUGGAAUGAUGACCUGGUCCUUACAGCCCUUCCUUUGUUGCUGUUUCAAAGAUAAGCUAAGGUGAAGGUGACCUUCAAGGACAAAACAAAGUCACUUCCGGUGCUGUGAGUUGUGUUCCUAGACAUUAGAAUAAAACUAAUUUAA